This 985-nucleotide ribosomal RNA is filed under the name Staphylococcus aureus M1230. Its description in RNAcentral is "bacterial SSU rRNA". It matches the Rfam family "Bacterial small subunit ribosomal RNA", at positions 8 to 974 of the family's 1533-position model. Lineage: Bacteria; Bacillati; Bacillota; Bacilli; Caryophanales; Staphylococcaceae. The record is from RNAcentral.
AGAGUUUGAUCCUGGCUCAGGAUGAACGCUGGCGGCGUGCCUAAUACAUGCAAGUCGAGCGAACGGACGAGAAGCUUGCUUCUCUGAUGUUAGCGGCGGACGGGUGAGUAACACGUGGAUAACCUACCUAUAAGACUGGGAUAACUUCGGGAAACCGGAGCUAAUACCGGAUAAUAUUUUGAACCGCAUGGUUCAAAAGUGAAAGACGGUCUUGCUGUCACUUAUAGAUGGAUCCGCGCUGCAUUAGCUAGUUGGUAAGGUAACGGCUUACCAAGGCAACGAUGCAUAGCCGACCUGAGAGGGUGAUCGGCCACACUGGAACUGAGACACGGUCCAGACUCCUACGGGAGGCAGCAGUAGGGAAUCUUCCGCAAUGGGCGAAAGCCUGACGGAGCAACGCCGCGUGAGUGAUGAAGGUCUUCGGAUCGUAAAACUCUGUUAUUAGGGAAGAACAUAUGUGUAAGUAACUGUGCACAUCUUGACGGUACCUAAUCAGAAAGCCACGGCUAACUACGUGCCAGCAGCCGCGGUAAUACGUAGGUGGCAAGCGUUAUCCGGAAUUAUUGGGCGUAAAGCGCGCGUAGGCGGUUUUUUAAGUCUGAUGUGAAAGCCCACGGCUCAACCGUGGAGGGUCAUUGGAAACUGGAAAACUUGAGUGCAGAAGAGGAAAGUGGAAUUCCAUGUGUAGCGGUGAAAUGCGCAGAGAUAUGGAGGAACACCAGUGGCGAAGGCGACUUUCUGGUCUGUAACUGACGCUGAUGUGCGAAAGCGUGGGGAUCAAACAGGAUUAGAUACCCUGGUAGUCCACGCCGUAAACGAUGAGUGCUAAGUGUUAGGGGGUUUCCGCCCCUUAGUGCUGCAGCUAACGCAUUAAGCACUCCGCCUGGGGAGUACGACCGCAAGGUUGAAACUCAAAGGAAUUGACGGGGACCCGCACAAGCGGUGGAGCAUGUGGUUUAAUUCGAAGCAACGCGAAGAACCUUAC